CCCCUCUCCCCCACCCUCUCUCCCGCACCCAGACCUAGCCACCACCAAUGUCAGCGGCGCCGCCGCCGCCCCGCCGCCGGACGAGGUCCCCCUCCGCCUCCCGCCCGAUGGCCCAGUACGCCUCCUCCGCGCCUCCAUGGUCCGCAAGACCUGGAGCCACACCGUCUCGCAACCGGGAUUCCGACGCCGCCUCCGCGAGCUCCACCCGGCACCCCCCGCGCUCGGGUUCCUCCACAACCGGGCCGACGAGCGCAGCCCCUGCUUCAUCCCCACCGCCGCCUCGUCCUUCUCCCUCGUCGCCCCGGACCGCCGCUUCCGGCGGGCCCCCGGCUGCCGCCACGGCCGCGCACCCCUUCCUCUGCAAGGACGGGUGCGACCACCUCGUCCUCGACUGCCUCGCGGGCCCUUUCCGCGUGGUCUUCCUCUUCGCCGUGGAGGAAGGCACCGACAACGACGCGUAUGCUCGUCGGAGACUGGCGGCUGGGGCGAGCUUCCCUCGAUGCGCUGCCAAGGCGAGUUCUCCAUGGAAUUCGCAGAACAUCCCAGCGUUCUCGUUGGCAGGUCUCUGCUCUACUCCAUGUCCACGGGGACAGUGCGUCGAUCGUGGAUCAUGACCUGGGAAGCCGCGACAUGACUCGGUUCGGCCCACCAGACAAGUACUACAAGCACGGAUGCUGUCAAGGAUGGGGAUUUUGUCAACGCCUUUGAAUGCGUUAGCCACAACCUCAUGAUCAGGGCUCCUUGUUAUGGAGAAGGUGCUCUCGAGGGUGUAGCACACUCAACAAACAUGGAUGUGCCUUGCUACCCAAAGAUUCUCCUAGUGAUGUUCCUAAGAGGGCACCAAAUGAAGAAUCGGCGAAGGGUACAACCAGCAAAGAUGAUGCUGGGAACCUACGACCUCUGAUAGCAACGUUGAUGGUGCUUCACCUUCAGAGAAGAAACUAGAAACCACGAAGUUGGUAACCAAUGCUAUCAAGGAAGGGGACUUUGUCAACACCUUUCGGACCAGUAAAUCAGGCACAUAAGCAGCUGUUCGACGAGGGAACCAAUCCUAUCAAGGAAGGGGACUUUGUCAACACCUUUGAAUGCGUCAGCCACGACCUCGAGAUCAGGCUGGUGAGUUUUUCUAUUCAGCUCAAAGAAGCGCUGUAGCACAAGAGAGGCAAUUGGUAGCAAAUCAGUCUGGUCAGAAUUCACCGGAGAGUCCUUCCUUAGAGCAGGAUUCUCAAUCGGCAGCUGAAAGAUUAGUGAGACUGACUGAUGCUGAACAUGUACCAUCUGUUCCAUGCGAGAGAAAUAGCAUGUCGAUAUCAUCUUGAAAUAAUCACAGCUGGGGGGACGAGGUUGGUAGCUGAGGGUGAUGUGCAGAGCGGGAGGAAGGAGGUGUGAGGCUUGGAACUCUCCUUGUGAAGUGCUCAGGGACAGCGGUGAGGAGCAUGGCAGGUGUCCAACUUGACCUCCUCGGCCACAGCAACAACAAGGGUGGCCGUGGCGACAAGGGAGGAGACAACAACCAGCAGAGCAAUGAGAUCGCUAAGUCUCUGAUCCCGCCACUUCCUGCUCGAUUCGCUUGGCUCCUGCGCUGAUUUCUCUUUGUUUUCCCAGGUUUGUUGUGGUUGCAGAAUGGCGCAGAGCAACUGGGAAGCGGACUACGUCUACGGACAUGAUGCGUGAUGUACACAUCCAUCACUACUAUUUGCUCAAGUGGAUCAUCCAAACGGCCAACCUGUUCAUGGUGGAGGGGGCGAUGCCUGCUAAGUCCUCCAAUUCAUGCUCAGGUGCAACCUGGAAUGAUUGGGUUUAUGACAUUGGGUGGCAGUAUAAUUCUCAUGCUGACGACAAUUAUUUUUUUGACGAGGAUUCAGUGGUUGUCUGUGGCAUGUGGUUUUGAUCAUUUCAAACUACUCCAGAGCAUACUGUUUUGCUCUCUCCUAACAGUGAUGCCUUUCAGUUCAACUAGGAACUCAUCAUUAUUGGAGUAUUUCAUCUGUAUAUACCAAAGCAAGGCGGGAGAAGAAGCAGAUUGAUUGAUGAAGGAAACACAUGAAAAAGAGGAAAAGAGCAGCUAAAUGAUUGAUGGGGCCUGUGACCUAUCCCUGUCGGUUCUCCUUUCCGCAAAUUAAACCAAUAAUCGAUAUUGUCAGUUUGAGAGUAUGCUGGAUGUGAGAGUUAAUGAAGAAGAUCACUCAUGCUGUUGAAAGUACACAAGCAGUCACUGUUAAGGUCUACCGAAAAACAUGUAGGUUUGCAAACUUCAAGAGUCAAAUGAUGGAUUUGUUCAAGAUGCGUGUUCUUGGAUUGUCAUCCUAGUAUUUGAUCAUUGAAGUUGCUCAAGGCCCAGAUGGUAUCACACUUUGCCAAACAUGAUAUGCCUUGAAAAUUCAUGAGAAGGCAGGGAUGUAAGUUAGAUUCCAAUGGAACCAAAACUGAAGCUACACAAGUCAAAAGGAUGAAGAGAUGGUGCAUCUUACAAUGUAGAGGAGUCUCGUAGGCAGCCUGAGGUAUUUGUGUAACACCAGGCCAUAUCUUGCUUACUCAGUGGGAAUUGUAAGUAGAUCCAUGCAGGAACAUACAAUGUCCCAUAUGGUUGCUAUAAAGCGGAUCUUGAAGUACAUAAAAGGAACCACUUCCCUUUGUUGUCAUUACAACAGAAAAAGGAAGAAUCACCAACACUUGUGGGAUACAGUGAUAGUGAUCUAGCGGGAGACAUCAAUGAGUUUAAGAGUACACGUGGUAACGUGUUCUUCCUUGACUCGAAUAUCAUCUCCUGGGUCUCACAAAAGCAAAGAGUAGUUGCUUUUUCAUCUUGUGAAGUAGAAUACAUUUCUGCAUCAUCAACAGCUUGUCAGGGCUUGUGGCUAGCCCGUGCUUGGUGAUUUGAGGUGCAAGGAAGUGGACUGUGUGAACCUGAAGAGUAAGGCACUGUGGCUGCAGAGCAUGUGAGAACAAGGACCAACUUGCAUAUAUACCGACGAAGCCAUUGCCGCAUUUGAAGUUCAUCGAGCUGCAAGAGGGAAUUGGUCGUUCAGUACCAAACCUUGGACAAGCUUAGGGGGGGGGGGGGGGGGGGUUGUUAGAUUAAUCAUGCCAUCUGUUAUUUAAGCUUUGCUUUCUUCUUUGAGUUUGUUGCAAUAACAAACAUGUGCAUUGGCCAUGAGGUGUAGGCGAUGCCCUGAACACUAUUGCGUCCUUGACUUGCUGGGCAUAGUGGUCCGCAGAAGUACUGGAGGCAGAGUGGGUGAGCGGGUGCAGUCGGUGGGCGUGCUCCUGAGUGUAUGCAGUGCCUACCAAAACUCUCCUCUUGGUUCUCUCGCGCUGCUAUUCCUCUGCUUCUUGGUUGUA
Triticum aestivum (bread wheat) is the source of this 3342-nucleotide long non-coding RNA. RefSeq lists it as uncharacterized. The transcript is spliced from 12 exons. NCBI's taxonomy places the organism in Eukaryota, Viridiplantae, Streptophyta, Magnoliopsida, Poales, Poaceae. The record is from RefSeq and is a predicted model, not a curated record.